RNAcentral lists this ribosomal RNA (460 nucleotides) under uncultured bacterium. Its description in RNAcentral is "partial 16S ribosomal RNA". It matches the Rfam family "Bacterial small subunit ribosomal RNA", at positions 338 to 795 of the family's 1533-position model. The record is from RNAcentral.
CCUACGGGGGGCAGCAGUGAGGAAUAUUGGUCAAUGGACGAGAGUCUGAACCAGCCAAGUAGCGUGAAGGAUGACUGCCCUAUGGGUUGUAAACUUCUUUUAUAUGGGAAUAAAAUGUUCCACGUGUGGGAUUUUGUAUGUACCAUAUGAAUAAGGAUCGGCUAACUCCGUGCCAGCAGCCGCGGUAAUACGGAGGAUCCGAGUGUUAUCCGGAUUUAUUGGGUUUAAAGGGAGCGUAGGUGGAUUGUUAAGUCAGUUGUGAAAGUUUGCGGCUCAACCGUAAAAUUGCAGUUGAAACUGGCAGUCUUGAGUACAGUAGAGGUGGGCGGAAUUCGUGGUGUAGCGGUGAAAUGCUUAGAUAUCACGAAGAACUCCGAUUGCGAAGGCAGUUCACUGGACUGCAACUGACACUGAGGCUCGAAAGUGUGGGUAUCAAACAGGAUUAGAUACCCUAGUAGUC